Molecule: RNA transcript, 1630 nt
Organism: Syngnathus acus (greater pipefish)
Lineage: Eukaryota; Metazoa; Chordata; Actinopteri; Syngnathiformes; Syngnathidae
Gene: cnot11
Gene name: CCR4-NOT transcription complex, subunit 11
Exons: 8
Source: RefSeq, a predicted model, not a curated record
AUGACGCUGGCACCGAAGGAGCUGUCCAACCUGCUGGGCAUCAUCUCGGAGGAGGCUUGCACCAACACGUUCGAGACUCUGUCCACGCACUUUCACCACUUCUUCGGCAAGGCGGAGCACUUCCGCGCGGGCUCGGUGCUCGUCAUGCUCCUGCAGCAGCCCGACUUGCUGCCCAGCUCGCCGCAGCGGCUCACCGCGCUCUACCUGCUCUGGGAGAUGUACCGUACCGAGCCGCUGGCAGCUAACCCCUUCGCCGCCGUGUUCGCGCACCUGCUCAACCCCGAGCCCGAGAAGCUGCUCUCGGGCUUCCUGCCACCCAUCACGCAGCCUGAGAAGUUCUUUCUGUCACAACUGAUGUUGGCGCCGCCCCGAGAUUUGUUCAAGAAGACGCCGAGACAAGUAUCGUGCAUGGACGUCAGCGGAAUGCCGCAGUCCAUCGACAUCAGCGGCCUGCAGCUCGCCCUGGCGGAGCGUCAGUCCGAAUUGCCCACACAAAGCAAGGCCAGCUUCCCCAGCGUCCUCAACGACCCGGACCCAGACUCGUCCAACUCGGGAUUCGACAGCUCCGUGGCCAAUCAGAUCAUCGAGUCUCUGGUCACUGAGCCGCGCCCACCGUUGGAAAGUCACUUCCGCCCUGAGCUGAUUCGUCCUCCUCCCCCGUUGCACGUGUGCGAGGACGAGUUGGCGUGGCUCAACCCCACUGAGCCGGACCACCGCGUUCACUGGGACCGCUCCAUGUGCGUCAAGAACAGCACCGGGCUUGAAAUCAAACGGGUCAUGGCCAAAGCCUUCAAGAGCCCGUUGUCUGCGCAGCAGCAGUCGCAGUUGCUGGCUGAGCUGGAGAAGGACCCCAAGCUGGUGUACCACAUCGGGCUGACCCCCGCCAAGCUUCCCGACCUGGUGGAGAACAACCCCCUGGUGGCCAUUGAGAUGCUGCUGAAGCUGAUGCAGAGUAGUCAGAUUACCGAGUACUUCUCUGUGCUGGUCAACAUGGACAUGUCGCUGCAUUCCAUGGAGGUUGUCAACAGGUUGACCACGGCUGUGGACUUACCUCCAGAGUUCAUCCAUCUUUACAUCUCCAACUGCAUCUCCACCUGUGAGCAGAUCAAAGACAAGUACAUGCAGAACCGUUUGGUGCGUCUGGUGUGCGUGUUCCUUCAGUCUCUAAUCCGUAACAAGAUCAUCAACGUUCAGGACCUGUUCAUCGAGGUCCAGGCAUUCUGCAUCGAAUUCAGUCGUAUACGCGAGGCGGCCGGACUCUUUCGCCUCCUCAAGAGUCUGGACACUGGCGACGGCGGACUUCCUGACGCCAAGACUACCAAAUAAGGGCUACAAAAAUACUGUAAAUAGUUUUACUCCUUUCAAUGCAAAAUUAUGGAAAUAAAACCUUUUUGUGGGGGAAUUCUGAAAUGGUCAUAAAUUGAUUGACUGGUGGUCACUAAGGUUGACAUUUAUCCCAACUGGUGUGACGUCUGCAGCACCCAAGUUAGAGGAACUCAAAGUCCAAAGAACUGCAAGUUCCUGGAACUUUAGAUUGAAACUCGAGCGUGUGUUUAAAAGCACCUGACUGUAUAUGGGAAAGUGUUUGUGUACAAAAAAUUGACAAUUGACAUGAUCUCAUUUAUUUAUA